AACGUAGGAGACGAACGUUAUCCGGAGUUACUGGGCGUAAAGGGCGUGUAGGUGGUUUGUUAAGUCUGGCGUGAAAGCUCUCGGCUAAACCGGGAGAGGUCGUUGGAUACUGGCGAACUAGAGGAUGGUAGAGGCGUGUGGAAUUCCGGGUGUAGUGGUGAAAUGCGUAGAGAUCCGGAGGAACACCAGUGGCGAAGGCGACACGCUGGGUCAUACCUGACGCUAAAGCGCGACAGCAUGGGGAGCAAACGGG
RNAcentral lists this ribosomal RNA (253 nucleotides) under uncultured bacterium. Its description in RNAcentral is "partial 16S ribosomal RNA". It matches the Rfam family "Bacterial small subunit ribosomal RNA", at positions 524 to 776 of the family's 1533-position model. The record is from RNAcentral.